RNAcentral lists this ribosomal RNA (741 nucleotides) under Flavobacterium sp. RNAcentral's name for it is "bacterial SSU rRNA". It matches the Rfam family "Bacterial small subunit ribosomal RNA", at positions 61 to 803 of the family's 1533-position model. Lineage: Bacteria; Pseudomonadati; Bacteroidota; Flavobacteriia; Flavobacteriales; Flavobacteriaceae. The record is from RNAcentral.
GUCGAGGGGUAUAGGUUUUCGGACCUAGAGACCGGCGCACGGGUGCGUAACGCGUAUGCAAUCUACCUUUCACAAAGGGAUAGCCCAGAGAAAUUUGGAUUAAUACCUUAUAGUAAUACGACUUGGCAUCAAGAUGUAUUUAAAGAUUUAUCGGUGAAAGAUGAGCAUGCGUCCCAUUAGCUUGUUGGUAAGGUAACGGCUUACCAAGGCAACGAUGGGUAGGGGUCCUGAGAGGGAGAUCCCCCACACUGGUACUGAGACACGGACCAGACUCCUACGGGAGGCAGCAGUGAGGAAUAUUGGACAAUGGGCGCAAGCCUGAUCCAGCCAUGCCGCGUGCAGGAUGACGGUCCUAUGGAUUGUAAACUGCUUUUGUACAGGAAGAAACCCUUUCACGUGUGGAAGAUUGACGGUACUGUAAGAAUAAGGAUCGGCUAACUCCGUGCCAGCAGCCGCGGUAAUACGGAGGAUCCAAGCGUUAUCCGGAAUCAUUGGGUUUAAAGGGUCCGUAGGCGGUCAAGUAAGUCAGUGGUGAAAGCCCAUCGCUCAACGGUGGAACGGCCAUUGAUACUGCUUGACUUGAAUUAUUAGGAAGUAACUAGAAUAUGUAGUGUAGCGGUGAAAUGCUUAGAGAUUACAUGGAAUACCAAUUGCGAAGGCAGGUUACUACUAAUGGAUUGACGCUGAUGGACGAAAGCGUGGGUAGCGAACAGGAUUAGAUACCCUGGUAGUCCACGCCGU